Molecule: ribosomal RNA, 253 nt
Filed under: uncultured bacterium
Lineage: Bacteria
Description: partial 16S ribosomal RNA
Rfam family: Bacterial small subunit ribosomal RNA
Source: RNAcentral
UACGUAGGGUGCAAGCGUUAAUCGGAAUUACUGGGCGUAAAGCGUGCGCAGGCGGUUGUGCAAGACAGAUGUGAAAUCCCCGGGCUCAACCUGGGAACUGCAUUUGUGACUGCACAGCUUGAGUGCGGCAGAGGGGGAUGGAAUUCCGCGUGUAGCAGUGAAAUGCGUAGAUAUGCGGAGGAACACCGAUGGCGAAGGCAAUCCCCUGGGCCUGCACUGACGCUCAUGCACGAAAGCGUGGGGAGCAAACGGG